GAGACUCCAGGCUCCCUCCUACCUGGGAAAAUAGAGCCAAUGAGAAAAGACCUCCCCAUGCUAUGGAGGGACCUGCCAGGUUCCUGACCACGGCAUCUUUGGAUGGGGCUGGGAGGAAAGCCUACAUGUGGGGCAAACCUGUUUCCUCAACAGGAACAAUAAUGAACCUCAGUCCAAAUCUUAGCCCUGCCAAUCUCUAAGGCCUUUGGUUUCAACAUCUAAGAAAGAGGACUAGGCAUCACAGAAGGUGUUGUGAAGAUUAAAAACAACUAUAUUCCUAGUCGUUGGAGACUCUGAAUGGAAAGGAUCCCACAGGGAUAACUAGCACUCUGAGGAGACUUCCGAUUUAAUGAAGAUGCUGUCUGGCUCCAACGGGUUUCCCAGGAAGACAAUAAUUACUCAUCCUCUAAUAGAGCCAAUAAAUAUAGCAAAAGGAUAAGUAAUUAACAACCUUUUGCUGGAAA
Molecule: long non-coding RNA, 464 nt
Organism: Suricata suricatta (meerkat)
Lineage: Eukaryota; Metazoa; Chordata; Mammalia; Carnivora; Herpestidae
Exons: 3
Source: RefSeq, a predicted model, not a curated record